AGAUUCAGCCCUUUGUCGCUA
This 21-nucleotide non-coding RNA is filed under the name Arabidopsis thaliana (thale cress). The record is from RNAcentral. Lineage: Eukaryota; Viridiplantae; Streptophyta; Magnoliopsida; Brassicales; Brassicaceae.